RNAcentral lists this ribosomal RNA (253 nucleotides) under uncultured bacterium. RNAcentral describes it as "partial 16S ribosomal RNA". It matches the Rfam family "Bacterial small subunit ribosomal RNA", at positions 524 to 776 of the family's 1533-position model. The record is from RNAcentral.
UACGGAGGGUGCAAGCGUUAAUCGGAAUUACUGGGCGUAAAGCGCACGCAGGUGGCUGAGUCAGUCGAUUGUGAAAUCCCCAGGCUUAACCUGGGAACUGCAUCCGAUACUGGAUGGCUUGAAUCCGGGAGAGGGAUGCAGAAUUCCAGGUGUAGCGGUGAAAUGCGUAGAUAUCUGGAGGAAUACCGGUGGCGAAGGCGGCAUCCUGGACCGGCAUUGACGCUGAGGAGCGAAAGCUAGGGGAGCAAACGGG